This 73-nucleotide transfer RNA is filed under the name Klebsiella pneumoniae. RNAcentral's name for it is "tRNA-Lys". It matches the Rfam family "tRNA". Rfam says of the family: Transfer RNA (tRNA) molecules are approximately 80 nucleotides in length. Their secondary structure includes four short double-helical elements and three loops (D, anti-codon, and T loops). Lineage: Bacteria; Pseudomonadati; Pseudomonadota; Gammaproteobacteria; Enterobacterales; Enterobacteriaceae. The record is from RNAcentral.
GGGUCGUUAGCUCAGUUGGUAGAGCAGUUGACUUUUAAUCAAUUGGUCGCAGGUUCGAAUCCUNAAGGGGUCG